AACGCACAUUGCGCCCCUUGGUAUUCCGAGGGGCAUGCCUGUUCGAGCGUCAUUACAACCCUCAAGCACUGCUUGGUAUUGGGCCCCGCUGGUUUCAGCGGGCCUUAAAAUCAGUGGCAGCGCCGUCUGAGCUCUGAGCGUAGUAAAUAUCCUCGCUAUAGAGACCAGGUGGUUCUUGUCAUCAACCCCCAACUUUCUAAGUUUGACCUCGGAUCAGGUAGGGAUACCCGCUGAACUUAA
This 240-nucleotide unclassified non-coding RNA is filed under the name uncultured Hyaloscyphaceae. RNAcentral's name for it is "sequence contains ITS2". The stretch from base 1 to 52 matches the Rfam family "5.8S ribosomal RNA", at positions 103 to 154 of the family's 154-position model. The record is from RNAcentral. Lineage: Eukaryota; Fungi; Ascomycota; Leotiomycetes; Helotiales.